UGGUUGUGUGUGUUUUGUGUGAAGCAUUGUAUGUAUGUACUGAAGUGUACGAUGUGUGGUAAGCAUGCAUGGAAAAUUAUGUGUUAGGAAGUAUGACUUUGUUAAGGCUAUGACUGAAAUCUGUGUAAAUGCAUCCAUUAUGUUAUUUGAGAGAUGCAUGACCAAGUAUGGUUGGCGAUAAGGGGGUUCGGACAGAGUG
Molecule: long non-coding RNA, 199 nt
Filed under: Gossypium raimondii (Peruvian cotton)
Lineage: Eukaryota; Viridiplantae; Streptophyta; Magnoliopsida; Malvales; Malvaceae
Description: long non-coding RNA (GRAI_LNC000537)
Source: RNAcentral